GAAAUGCGAUAACUAGUGUGAAUUGCAGAAUUCCGUGAAUCAUCGAGUCUUUGAACGCACAUUGCGCCCCCUGGUAUUCCGGGGGGCAUGCCUGUCCGAGCGUCAUUGCUGCCCAUCAAGCACGGCUUGUGUGUUGGGUCGUCGUCCCCUCUCCGGGGGGGACGGGCCCCAAAGGCAGCGGCGGCACCGCGUCCGAUCCUCGAGCGUAUGGGGCUUUAUCACCCGCUCUGUAGGCCCGGCCGGCGCUUGCCGAACGCAAAUCAAUCUUUUUCCAGGUUGACCUCGGAUCAGGUAGGGAUACCCGCUGAACUUAAGC
Molecule: unclassified non-coding RNA, 316 nt
Filed under: plant metagenome
Description: partial contains 5.8S ribosomal RNA, internal transcribed spacer 2, and large subunit ribosomal RNA
Rfam family: 5.8S ribosomal RNA (bases 1-105)
Source: RNAcentral